ACACACCUCCCCAUGCACACCACAAAGACUCCUGAAGCCCAAUGGCGAUAUUUCACACUGAUGUACGAAGCGUGUGUGUGGACUUCCCUGAUUCCGUUAUACAACAAGGGAUCUAGUGCAUUACUGACGAGAGCAGGGAACAAAGCAGACUGUACCAGGAGGAGCCGUGGACACACACAGUAAGCAGGCUGUACCAGGAGGAGCCGUGGACACACACAGUAAGCAGGCUGUACCAGGAGGAGCCGUGGACACACACAGUAAGCAGGCUGUACCAGGAGGAGCCGUGGACACACACAGUAAGCAGGCUGUACCAGGAGGAGCCGUGGACACACACAAUCCCGAGAGAGAGAGAGAGAGAGAGAGAGAGCGAGAGAAGCUCUGCUACAAAGAAGUGUCAACUUAUUCACCUACACCUUCAGUCUCUAUUGUCUUACCAAUAAAGGGGUGCAAUGCACAGUAUCACCAUCAUGAACCAAACCAACAACAAAGGCCAAAAGGAUAGAAAAAGAGAGAAGCCAAAAGAAAGGAGGGGGUCAUGGUGAUACAUGACCUGCCAGAGCAACAGGUCCCUCUCUGGUGAGUUUGAGCUGUGUGUUGUUGUUGUUGGUAUUUUGAUGUGGCAGACCAAUGGGUGGCGUUGUAAAAACAGGAUCAGUGAUGUCAGAGGAGACUCAGAAUGUGGUUAAUUACUACCGUCGUUAGCGCCAGAUUGGAGUGUAAUUCUACCCUGUGUGUGCGUGUGUGUGUGUGUGUCUCAGAGAGUGAAUGAGAGAGAGGAGAGUGUAGCUGAGUUGGUAGAGCAUGGAUGGCUCUUGCAAUGCCAGGGUUGUGGGUUCGAUUCCCAUGGCGACCAACAUUUAUGCACUCACUACUGUAAGUCACUCUGGAUAAGAGCCUCUGCUAAAUGACUGACAUGUAAAUAGAGAGAGAAAUAGUCUAUAUGCAUAUGUGCUCUUGACCUCCCUGACAAUGCCAUCAACAAUAACUUAAAUCCUUCUGCCAUUCAGGCUCACUUUAUCACUAGCCUCUCUCCUUACACUGUACAGUGUAGUGUGCGUCAGAGGCAUUGAGAGAUUACCUGGAGUUAGCAUGUAGCCAUUGCAGGCUGGGGAUUGGAAAGGCAUUGUGGCUUCUUUACUUCAGCCCCAUUACUUGUAAUGACAGGUUGGCCCUCUGCCUGCGCAACUACACUGAAUGAAAAUAUAAAUGCAACAUGUAGUGUUGGGACCAUGUUUCAUGAGCUGAAAUAAAUCCCGGAAAUGUUCCAUAUGCACAAAAAGCUUAUUUCUCUCAAAUAAAUGUGCACAAAUUAGUUUACAUCCCUGUUAGUGAGCAUUUCUCCUUUGUGAAGAUAAUCCAUCCACCUGACAGGUGUGGCAUAUCAAUAAGCUGAUUAAACAGCAUGAUCAUUACACAGGUGCACCUUGUGCUGGGGACAAUAAAAGACCACUUUAAAAUGUGCAGUGAUGUCACACAACACAAUGCCACAGAUGUCAAAAGUGUUGAGGAAGCGUGCAAUUGGCAUGCUGACUGCAGGAAUGUCCACCAGAGCUGUUGCCAGAGAAUAAAAUGUUUAUUUCUCUACCAUAAGCUGCCUCCAACAUUGUUUUAGAGAAUUUGGUAGUACGUCCAACUGGCCUCACAACCGCAGACCACCUGUAACCACGCCUCCUCAGGACCUCCACAUCUGGCUUCUACACCUGCAGGAUCGUCUGGGGGGGGG
RNAcentral lists this long non-coding RNA (1723 nucleotides) under Salmo salar (Atlantic salmon). Its description in RNAcentral is "lncRNA (ENSSSAG00000094708.1)". The stretch from base 861 to 914 matches the Rfam family "UnaL2 LINE 3' element". Lineage: Eukaryota; Metazoa; Chordata; Actinopteri; Salmoniformes; Salmonidae. The record is from RNAcentral.